GGGUAUUGCCUCAGUAACGGCGUGGUGAACGGCAGUGCUCAAAUUUGAAAGCUGGCUCCUUCGGAGUCCGUAUUGUAAUUUGCAGAGGAUGCUUUGGGUGCGGCCCCCGUCUAAGUGCCCUGGAACGGGCCGUCAGAGAGGGUGAGAAUCCCGUCUUGGGCGGGGUGUCCGUGCCCGUGUAAAGCUCCUUCGACGAGUCGAGUUGUUUGGGAAUGCAGCUCUAAAUGGGUGGUAAAUUUCAUCUAAAGCUAAAUACUGGCCGGAGACCGAUAGCGCACAAGUAGAGUGAUCGAAAGAUGAAAAGCACUUUGAAAAGAGAGUUAAACAGCACGUGAAAUUGUUGAAAGGGAAGCGCUUGCGACCAGACUCGCCCGCGGGGUUCAGCCGGCAUUCGUGCCGGUGUACUUCCCCGUGGGCGGGCCAGCGUCGGUUUGGGCGGCCGGUCAAAGGCCCCUGGAAUGUAGUGCCCUCCGGGGCACCUUAUAGCCAGGGGUGCAAUGCGGCCAGCCUGGACCGAGGAACGCGCUUCGGCACGGACGCUGGCAUAAUGGUCGUAAACGACCGUC
RNAcentral lists this ribosomal RNA (566 nucleotides) under Aspergillus niger. Its description in RNAcentral is "eukaryotic LSU rRNA". It matches the Rfam family "Eukaryotic large subunit ribosomal RNA", at positions 70 to 653 of the family's 3401-position model. Lineage: Eukaryota; Fungi; Ascomycota; Eurotiomycetes; Eurotiales; Aspergillaceae. The record is from RNAcentral.